Long non-coding RNA from Spea bombifrons (plains spadefoot toad), 934 nucleotides. RefSeq lists it as uncharacterized. The record is from RefSeq and is a predicted model, not a curated record. The transcript has 4 exons. NCBI's taxonomy places the organism in Eukaryota, Metazoa, Chordata, Amphibia, Anura, Pelobatidae.
GUGCAUAGAUAGGUGUGUACAGAUUGUAUACAGACUCAUUUCAACAUUGAAGGGCGUGUGAACAGAUAUUUCUUCAGCAGCUGAUAUCGGUGGCCAAAACACAGCCAGGUUGCUGGCACGGAUUUGUGCGAAUGUUCGGAUACACAUUAACUCAUCGGGAUACAAAUAGGGACGUUCCCCUGCUGAUCUACUCAGAUCCCUGCCUCCCAUCAGCAAGGGACAAAAAGGGUUAACAACCUCAUCUGGAUUGCAGCGACUGACAAUGACUGCAAUCAAGCUAAUGCACUCUGCAGCUGAACUGCUGGCAUCCGCGGUGACACGGCCAGCCUCCGUGUACAGCUAUUCUACACGCUAACACACGUAUGUGUCUAUGGGAUCACAUACAACAUGGGACACACGCCAACGUAUCCCUGCUCUAUGCAUAUUCUAUAAGAACCGACUGAAAUACGGAACACGCAUGAUACCAGCGGCCCGGGGUUAUAAGAAGCAAGAAAACCUAAAAAGUGGAAUGUCCAGUUGAACGCCAGAUACCGUACCCCUAGGCAUGGCUGGUGGGAACGACCAUUAACCAUUAAACAUGCAACAUGAAAUGAGCUGCUAGCCAAUACCUACUGGGCAUUCUGGUACCAGAACUGCUAGCCAACACCUACUGGGCAUUUAAGACUGGAGAUGGAGCGCAGGGGAGGCUCAGGGGCCGCAUGGCGGAGCUAGGCUGACCAAAGCCACGUUCAGGAUUAACCAGGUGGGGUUUUGGGGUGCUAAAACGGUUGACAGGGUGGGUUUUCGAAAGGGAUUAUGGGUAGGUCUGUAGGAUAUACAUGUUCGGGUCAGUUAGGUAAGCCAGUGACUUGCCUUGGAGAUGGAAUCAUUGUUUCUGUUUCAACUCCAUGUUUUUUACGUUUGUCAAUAAACAUUGUGGCCACUUCUUUCCAAA